GACGAACGCUGGCGGCGUGCUUAACACAUGCAAGUCGAACGGUAAGGCCCUUCGGGGUACACGAGUGGCGAACGGGUGAGUAACACGUGGGUGAUCUGCCCUGCACUUCGGGAUAAGCCUGGGAAACUGGGUCUAAUACCGGAUAGGACCACUGCCUGCAUGGGUGGUGGUGGAAAGCUUUUGCGGUGUGGGAUGGGCCCGCGGCCUAUCAGCUUGUUGGUGGGGUGAUGGCCUACCAAGGCGAAGACGGGUAGCCGGCCUGAGAGGGUGACCGGCCACACUGGGACUGAGCUACGGCCCAGCCUCCGACGGGGGGCAGCAGUGGGGAAUAUUGUACAAUGGGCGCAAGCCUGAUGCAGCGACGCCGCGUGAGGGAUGACGGCCUUCGGGUUGUAAACCUCUUUCGCCAGGGACGAAGCGCAAGUGACGGUACCUGGAGAAGAAGGACCGGCCAACUACGUGCCAGCCGCCGCAGUAA
This 478-nucleotide ribosomal RNA is filed under the name uncultured bacterium. RNAcentral describes it as "partial 16S ribosomal RNA". It matches the Rfam family "Bacterial small subunit ribosomal RNA", at positions 28 to 523 of the family's 1533-position model. The record is from RNAcentral.